This 433-nucleotide ribosomal RNA is filed under the name uncultured bacterium. RNAcentral describes it as "partial 16S ribosomal RNA". It matches the Rfam family "Bacterial small subunit ribosomal RNA", at positions 29 to 507 of the family's 1533-position model. The record is from RNAcentral.
AACGAACGCUGGCGGCAUGCCUAACACAUGCAAGUCGAACGAGACCUUCGGGUCUAGUGGCGCACGGGUGCGUAACGCGUGGGAACCUGCCCUUAGGUUCGGAAUAACUCCCCGAAAGGGGUGCUAAUACCGGAUCAUGUCUUCGGACCAAAGAUUUAUCGCCUUUGGAUGGGCCAGCGUUGGAUUAGCUAGUUGGUAGGGUAAAAGCCUACCAAGGCGACGAUCCAUAGCUGGUCUGAGAGGAUGAUCAGCCACACUGGGACUGAGACACGGCCCAGAAUCCUACGGGAGGCAGCAGUGGGGAAUAUUGGACAAUGGGCGAAAGCCUGAUCCAGCAAUGCCGCGUGAGUGAUGAAGGCCUUAGGGUUGUAAAGCUCUUUUACCCGGGAUGAUAAUGACAGUACCGGGAGAAUAAGCUCCGGCUAACUCCGUG